GGGAGGGGACUCGAGGAGCAGCCCCCCCUUUUCUAUCAGCGAGGGAGAAGGGGUAGGUGGAACCCGGCACGGAGGAGAGCGGGGAGGCUCCGGGGAUGGGCUCGGGAAGUGCUCUGGGGAUGCUCUCAAAUGCGCCGGGGAUGCUCUCAGGUGUUACUCUCGGGCGAUGCUCUGGGAAUGCUCUCCAGGGAUGCUCAGGUGGUGCUGCUAUGAUGCCCUGGGGAUGCUCUCCAGGGAUGUUUUCUGAUGAUGCUCCCAGGGGAUGCUCAGGGAAUGCUCAGAGGAUGCUCAGGGGAUGCUUUGAUGAUGCUCAGGGGAUGCUCAGGGGACGCUCUGCAGUGCUGUUUGCUGGUGACACUCCCAGGUGUUGCUCAGGUGAUGCUCUCAGGGGAUGCUUUCAUGAUGCUCAGGGGAUGCUCAGAGGAUGCUCAGGGGAUGCUCAGGGGACUCUGCAGUGCUGUUUGCUGGUGGCACUCCCAGGUGUUGCUCAGGUGAUGCUCUCAGGUGACGCUUUCACGAUGCUCUGAGGAUGCUCUGGGGAUGCUCUCCAGUGACGUUUUUUGGGGAUGUCUCAGGUGAUGCUCUGGUGGUGCUCUGGUGACUCUGGUGAUGCUCAGGUGAUGCUGAGGGGAUGUCUCAGGUGAUGCUGAGGGGAUGCUCAGGUGAUGCUGAGAUGAUGUUCAGGUGAUACUGAGAUGAUGUUCAGGUGAUGCUCAGGUGAUGUCUCAGGUGAUGCUGAGAUGAUGCUCAUGUGAUGCUGAGAAGAUGUCUCAGGUGAUACUGAGAUGAUGCUCAUGUGAUGCUGAGAAGAUGUCUCAGGUGAUGCUGAGAUGAUGCUCAGGUGAUGCUGAGAUGAUGUUCAGGUGAUGCUGAGGGGAUGUCUCAGGUGAUGCUCAGGUGAUGCUCUGGUGAUGCUCUGGUGACUCUGGUGAUGCUCAGGUGAUGCUGAGAUGAUGCUCUGGUGAUGUUGAGGGGAUGCUCUGGUGAUGUUGAGGGUAUGCUCAGGUGAUGCUCAGGUGAUGUUGAGGGGAUGCUCAGGUGAUGCUCAGGUGAUGUCUCAGGUGAUCCUCAGGUGAUGCUGUCCAGUGCUGUUUUCCAGUGACACCCCCUCGGUGACAUCCCCAGGUGACACCCCCAGGUGACACCCCCAGGUGACACACCCCGAUGUCGCUCCAGUGACACCCCAGGUGACACCCCAUGUGACACGUGCAGAUGACAUGCACAGGUGACACCCCCAGGUGACACCUCCAGUGACACCACCAGGUGACACACCCCGAUGUCGCUCCAGUGACACCCGCAGGUGACACCUCCAGGUGACACCCCCAGGUGUCGCUCCAGUGACAACCCCAGUGACACCCCCAGGUGACACUCCCUGGUGUCGCUCCAGUGACACUCCCAGGAGACACCCCCAGUGACACCCCCAGGGUGACACCCCAGGUGACACUCCCAGGAGACACCCCCAGUGACACCCCCAGGGUGACACCCCAGGUGACACGCCCAGGUGACACUCCCUGGUGUCGCUCCAGUGACACGCCCAGGUGACACGCUCAGGUGACACACCCAGUGACACCCCCAGGUGACACCCCAGGUGCCACCCCCGGUGACAGCCGCGGUGUCGCCCCUGCCCGGUGUCCCCGCCCGUCCCCGCGGGCAGCGCCGGCACCGGCAGAGCUCGGGCGGCCCCUCCCUGGAGCGGAUCCCGCCACCCCCGGGCCCUCCCGAGGGGACAGCCGGGGUGGCACUGAGGGGACAGGGAGGUGACAACCGGGGUGGCACUGAGGGGACAGGGAGGUGACAGUGAGGGUGGCACUGAGGCUGGCACUGAGGUGACAGAGAGGG
Long non-coding RNA from Myiozetetes cayanensis, 1839 nucleotides. RefSeq lists it as uncharacterized. The transcript is spliced from 4 exons. Lineage: Eukaryota; Metazoa; Chordata; Aves; Passeriformes; Tyrannidae. The record is from RefSeq and is a predicted model, not a curated record.